GGGUGUCAUCAUCUGCAUUCAACUUUAAAAAACUCGAGCUACUUACACUUGUUAACACAAAUAUUAUCAUUAAUCUUUGAAAUAUAGGUAUAAUAAAUAUUAUGUAAAUUUAAAAAAUUUAUAUUUCUAUGUCAUAUACUUCAUGAAGUUAAUCUUGUAUACAAACCAUGACCUCGAUGGUAGAUAGAUUUAAAGAACUUUGAUAUUGAUCUACAAC
This 217-nucleotide long non-coding RNA is filed under the name Elaeis guineensis (African oil palm). RNAcentral describes it as "long non-coding RNA (EGUI_LNC018059)". The record is from RNAcentral. Lineage: Eukaryota; Viridiplantae; Streptophyta; Magnoliopsida; Arecales; Arecaceae.